UUACGGUCAAAUCACGCUGAAAACACCGGUUCUCGUUCGAUCACCGAAGUUAAGCAUCGUAGAGCCAGGUCAGUACUUAGAUGGGGAACCGCUUGGAAACACCUGGUACUGUAAG
RNAcentral lists this ribosomal RNA (115 nucleotides) under Acanthosepion pharaonis. Lineage: Eukaryota; Metazoa; Mollusca; Cephalopoda; Sepiida; Sepiidae. The record is from RNAcentral.